AUACAGAGGGUGCAAGCGUUAAUCGGAAUUACUGGGCGUAAAGCGCACGUAGGCGGUUUUUUAAGUCAGAUGUGAAAGCCCCGGGCUCAACCUGGGAAUUGCAUUUGAAACUGGAAAACUAGAGUGUGUGAGAGGGGGGUAGAAUUCCAAGUGUAGCGGUGAAAUGCGUAGAGAUUUGGAGGAAUACCAGUGGCGAAGGCGGCCCCCUGGCACAACACUGACGCUCAGGUGCGAAAGCGUGGGGAGCAAACAGGAUUAGAAACCCUAGUAGUCC
This 274-nucleotide ribosomal RNA is filed under the name uncultured bacterium. Its description in RNAcentral is "partial 16S ribosomal RNA". It matches the Rfam family "Bacterial small subunit ribosomal RNA", at positions 523 to 796 of the family's 1533-position model. The record is from RNAcentral.